CUUUCCUGGCUCGUUCCACACUCUCCGUCGAGAGGGUGAAAGAUUCUGCUUUUAUACAAUUUUGGAAACGGUGGUGGGAGGUGACCACACCUCGUUACAAUGAGUCAUAAGGCGUUGUCUAGCGGAUGUGAGUCUACUUCUAGGGGUGUGGCUCGCUAGCCAGCAAUGAGUCAUAGGGUUGUGGCUUGCAAUUCAUUACCUUAUAUGGUUAUGCGUGGCGUUCUGCUUCGACGAAGACUAGAUUCACUCGAAUGAGUCAUACAGAUCAUACAAUACUCGCAUCUCGCUCGGAUUCGUGUUUCUUACGCUGCGCAUAAUACAAUUCUAUCUUUCUCGAAUUCGUGAGUAACGCUUCGGCGCUUGACAUUCGAUAUUUAUAUUAAUUUUGGUCUACUGAUGCAGAGUUUAUGUGCGCGGUCAAAAUUUGUGUUUACCCGAACGAGUUUUUAUGUUCAUGAUCUAUAAUUGCCAAUUAUACGUCAUAAUGCAGACGGAGGUAUAUAUUUCGUUAAUUAAUUAGGUGUAGCAAAUUGUUAAAAUUUAUGUUUUCCAUAUGGGCUUGAAGAGGAAGGUUUAAACUUAAUUUACAUCCAAACGGGGUAUUUUUUGCAGACGUCAUUUAAGAGAUAUUAAGGGUUGAAGUUUGAAAUAGUCGAAUUUCGGGUAGUUGUGAUAGAAAAAUAUCAAUUAUAUGGCACAACUCCCAUGCUAAACUGUUAUACCGGGUGUCUUUCCCUUUGGAAUUUUUUGUAGCCUCAACCAGAGGAGUGACGAGGUUUUGACUUAUACAAAAGUUAUUAUGCAUAACCUGGGGCACAUGUUAACGGCUAUUAUUAGUGUGGUUAAUUAUUUAUUUAUAAUUGUUUAUAAAAAUAAGUUGCAAAAUCAAACAAUCUUGUAGUAAGUAUUUUUUCAUUAAGUCGAUCAGUUUUUCGAGAUGAUUUUGAUGACGUAGUUAGUA
Temnothorax curvispinosus is the source of this 961-nucleotide long non-coding RNA. RefSeq lists it as uncharacterized. The record is from RefSeq and is a predicted model, not a curated record. The transcript is spliced from 3 exons. Lineage: Eukaryota; Metazoa; Arthropoda; Insecta; Hymenoptera; Formicidae.